Molecule: unclassified non-coding RNA, 391 nt
Filed under: soil metagenome
Description: partial contains 5.8S ribosomal RNA, internal transcribed spacer 2, and large subunit ribosomal RNA
Rfam family: 5.8S ribosomal RNA (bases 1-122)
Source: RNAcentral
GAUGAAGAACGCAGCGAAAUGCGAUACUUGGUGUGAAUUGCAGAAUCCCGUGAACCAUCGAGUCUUUGAACGCAAGUUGCGCCCGAAGCCAUUAGGCCGAGGGCACGCCUGCCUGGGCGUCACACGUCGUUGCCCCCCCAUCUACUCCUUCGGGAUUGCGGGGGGCGGAUGAUGGCCUCCCGUGCGCCUCGUCGCGCGGUUGGCAUAAAUGCCAAGUCCUCGGCGACGCACGCCACGACAAUCGGUGGUUGCGAAACCUCGGUUGCCCGUCGUGUGCGGUCGUCGCGCAUCGAGGGCUCGAAAAAAUUGCCGGGCUCCGGCUCGGCUUUCAACGCGACCCCAGGUCAGGCGGGGUUACCCGCUGAAUUUAAGCAUAUCAAUAAGCGGAGAA